Molecule: unclassified non-coding RNA, 1444 nt
Filed under: Portunus trituberculatus (swimming crab)
Lineage: Eukaryota; Metazoa; Arthropoda; Malacostraca; Decapoda; Portunidae
Description: selenocysteine lyase-like, transcript variant X4
Source: RNAcentral
AGGAGGCAUGUCUGGAAGCAGCAGUGGUUCCAGCACCAGCAGCAGCCCCCAAAAGCGUGUGUACUUGGAUUUCAAUGCCACCACACCACUGGCUCCAGAGGUGAUCCAGGCAGUAGAGCAGAGCAUGCAUGAAGCCUGGGGUAAUCCAAGCUCUGAUCAUGAGGAGGGAGCAAGAGCUAGGGCUGUCAUCAAUCAGGCUCGGGAUGAUGUGGCCCGGAUGAUUGGGGCCAUGCCACAAGAUGUCCUGUUCAUGUCUGGUGGGACAGAGGCCAAUAAUGUUGUUCUUCAUUGUGCUGUAACACACUUCCGUAAGUGGUGCCUCUCCCAAGACAGUCCCAUCUAUCAUCACCUUCGACCACACAUCAUCACCACCAAGGUGGAACAUGAUGCUGUCAAACUACCCCUCACCCACAGAUAUGCCAUUGAAGCAGAUGUAACAUAUCUUGGGGUAGAGAACCUCCCAGAAGCAGUGUUGGAAUCUAUCCGGCCAUCUACUUGCCUCAUCACAGUCAUGUUGGCUAACAAUGAGACUGGCAUCAUGUUUUCUGUUGCGCACAUUGGCAGGUUAUUAGCAGAAGUUAAUAAGAAGAGAGAAAAUGAGGGCUUGUUCAAGGUUCUCCUACAUACAGAUGCUGCACAAGCCAUCGGGAAGGUUCCUGUUGAUGUCACAGAUCUCAACAUUGACUACUUAACAAUAGUGGGACACAAGUAUUAUGGGCCUCGGAUUGGUGCGCUUUAUAUCCGUGGGCUUGGACACAAGACUCCAGUCUAUCCCCUCUUCUAUGGAGGAGGGCAAGAACGGGGAUACCGGCCUGGCACAGAGAACACUCCCAUGAUUGCUGGCCUGGGGCGUGCAUCACUCUUGGUUCACAACAAUGUUCAAGACUACUAUACAUCAAUGAAGAAAACAAGAAACUACAUGGAAAGACAGUUAAAGAAAGUAUUUGGCAAUCAAGUCAAAAUCAACUGUGUAGAUCCAUGCAUACCAAUGGACCCAGAAGCUUGUUCAGUGCCUCCCCGCGGCCCCAAGCAGCAGCACUUUAUCUUUCCACGUCUCCCAAACACAUCCUCCGUCUCCUUCUACUAUAGACAGGUAUCAGGACCUGAGAUUUUGAGGCAUUGCAGACUGGUGCAGGCCAGCUGUGGAGCUGCUUGCCAUGCCCAUACAGAAAAUCAGAGUCACACCGCAAAGUAUCAUGGACAGUACGGAGAGGGACACCAGCUAAUAAGUCAGGAUUCCCUUCCUUAAUUUGGUGUCCUGUAAGGCUGGGAUUGACCUACAGCUGCCUCCUGAGAAGUGUUCUUGUCCUCUCAGGUAUCCUAGAGGCAUCUGGUGUGUGCUCCUUCCAUGCUUCUCGUACCAUCCGCCUCAGCUUAGGCCGAGACACCACUAUGGAGGAGAUAGACCUGGCCAUCCAAGAUGUUAAACAGGCUAUUGAAAAAC